Salvia miltiorrhiza (redroot sage) is the source of this 529-nucleotide long non-coding RNA. RefSeq lists it as uncharacterized. The record is from RefSeq and is a predicted model, not a curated record. NCBI's taxonomy places the organism in Eukaryota, Viridiplantae, Streptophyta, Magnoliopsida, Lamiales, Lamiaceae. The transcript has 2 exons.
AUUCGAAUCAUUCCUUCUUUUUAGGUUAACGUUUUUUCUUUUCUUUUUUCACUCCUCUCUGCCCUAAUUUCUUUCUAUCGCCGCCACGCCACAAUCGUUGCCCCACCACUGGCCUACUCGCGCCUACUCCCACCUCUCAUCUCUCUCUGCUUCUAACCUUGGUCACCGACUCUUCGAAGCCUGCAAUCGCCAAGCUCCUCGCACUUCUCUGUCAUUGCAUUUACGAGCAGUGAGAUGUGGCGAACUGGCAAUUAAACUGAUUACUCAGCCUGAAGAAAGCCAAAUUUAGCUGCACUUUUUUAGAAGUUGCCUAUCUUCGAAAUUGCUCUCUUGUUAGGAGGAAGAAGAACAUUUUCGUGUUAUUUUGACGAAUUUAUUAUUUUGAGGAAGAUUGCAUUGUUGAUUCAGACAGUGGAAUCAUUAUUUUGAUGUAUGUUUAUUGGAUGCUUGGCAUUUGUUGUGUGUUUAUUAUGUAAAAAUAUUGGAUAUAUACCUAUAUUAUUUUGAAUAUAAUAUAUUUUUUCCUUCA